AGAAAAACUUUUGAGUGCUCAAAUUUCAGAUGUAUUCAAAUUUUAAAGGUUUAAGUUAUAGAGUAACACUUACUGAAAGAAAUAUUUUCUACGUGUUUUAAUGUGAGAAAUCAAUUGUAAUAAUAUACUUAGUAGAAGCAAAAUAAAAUUCGUAUCAGACUUAUGUAACCCAACCCGAUAGUGGCUUUAGUGUUCCUCAAGAAAUAUGUGGUUUUUAGAUUAUGUUGAUAAGACUUGACUUGUAGGGUCAAGGUGUAGUUGCCAUCAACAAUAUGUGGUCUUCAGGUUGUGUGGAGAAAACAUCUAUUACCCUCCUCUGAUUUUCUUCUUCCAAUUUUGCAUAGUUAAUAUUUCUAGUAAUCCAAAUUUAUUGUUCUCAUAAAAUAUUUUUGCUAACAUCAAAAUUAUAAGUGAAAAACCAAAUUGCUUCCAAAAGAAGAUACACUCAGAAUUAUUCACAAGAAGAAACACUCAUAAUUAUUCACAAGAAGAUACAUUUAGAAUUUUAUCACAAUAAGAUAUGAUCAAGAUUUUACAAGGACAAAAGUGAAACCCUGAUAUAUAUUCUAUUAAUAGAUAAUCAAGGCUAAAGAAGAAAUCAUGAACGCAUAAUCUCAUAAAUUCAUACAAUUCAGAAAAACUUGAGAGCUCAAAUUUCUGAUGUAUUCAAAUUUCAAAGGUUUAAGUUAUUGAGUAACACUUGCUCAAAGAAAUAUUUUCUACGUGUUUUAAUGUGACAAAUCAAUUGUAACAAUAUACUUAGUAGAAGCAAAAUAAAAUUUGUACCAGACUUGUGUAACCCAGCCCGAUAAUGGCUUUAGUGUUCCUCAAGAAAUAUGUGGUUUUCAGGUUAUGUUGAUAAGACUUAACUUGUAGGGUCAAGGUGUAGUUGCCUUCAACAAUCUAUAGUUUUCAGGUUGUGUGGAGAAGACAUGACUUGUAGGGUCAAAGUGUUUGUUUGCCUCAAAAAGUAUGUAGGUGUUAGGUUGUUUUGAGAAGACUGACUUGUAGGGUCAGGUGCUAUGAAUUUCAAGGAUUUAAAUUAGUAGUUAAACCCUUCUAGGUGAAGGGAUUAGAUAUAGCUACAAAAUUGGUGGUGAACUAGGAUAAAUUUUAUUGUAUCACUUUACUUCUGCACUCUUUAAUUUAUUGUUGCAUCUGAUUACUUAAGCCUUAUUGCUAUUGUCUCUAUUUUAGUUAAAAUCACCAAAUCCAAACCAGUUAUUGAAUAAAUCAUUAAAAAGAAUCCAACUUGGACAAAAAAAAAAUUCAACCCAUUUUCUCAUGUUUGCACCUUCAGAAUGUACUAAGCUAGAAGGUUGAGAAGAUUGAACAUAGAUAGUGUGACUAGUAGAUGUUCAAGUGUAUGUUUGAUUCAAUGGUAGACUAGUGGAUUAAAUCCUUCAGGUUAAAUGGAUUGGACGUAGCUACGGUGUUGGUGGUGAACCAUGAUAAAUCAUUGUGUCUUUCUUCUCUGUUUUUGUUUACUUGCACUACUUUCUAUAUGAUGACUCUUUAUCAAAUGAAUAUUUUUCAUUUUUUUUAAUCUUAUUUAUCUUUAAUUAUUAGUUAAUUUAAGGAGUUAUUUGAUAUUUUUGGUUGAUUUUAGUUCUUGGAUUUAAUGAAAUGUUUAUGUUCUUAUUUUCUUGAUUAAGUAGAAAUUUUUCGUAGUUUUGCGUUGUUUCUUUGUUGUAUUGUAGUGCUGAAUUUUGGUGAGAAAUCAACAUGACCUAUCUGGAGUAUUUUAGCCAUAAUUGGACUUGUAGAUGUCCAAUUGAAGUCAAACCAAGGGAAAAUGAAAGCUAAGAUUCAUAGCUACACAUUUCUUCAAGAAAAAUCGAACUCAAAAACGGAGAAAAUUGCACAAAACACCAAAUAGAAGAUGUUGUGCGCUUGAGGCACGCCUGAAGCGUAUUUCUACACCACCGGAUCUGUUGGAUUGUGCUUGAAGCGCGCCUAGGGCGCGCGACGCGCAUCACAACACAAUAAAACAUGUUUUUUUUUUUACUUUUAGGCAUCUUUUUUACUAUUGGGAAGUUGAGAGACUUGUGCCCUAGCAGAGAAACUCAGAGACAAUUGUUCUUAACACCAUUGGAGGAGUUUUAUAAAGAAUCAUUCAUGAAUCCUUCUUGUAAUUCUUAUUUAAUCCCUAUCUUUUGUAUAUCUGUCAUGAGUAACUAAAUCCUAUUUGUUAGGGAUGAGUGAAACAAGAUGAAACC
RNAcentral lists this long non-coding RNA (2219 nucleotides) under Cicer arietinum (chickpea). RNAcentral's name for it is "long non-coding RNA (CARI_LNC003391)". The record is from RNAcentral. Lineage: Eukaryota; Viridiplantae; Streptophyta; Magnoliopsida; Fabales; Fabaceae.